Molecule: small nuclear RNA, 68 nt
Filed under: Crocodylus porosus (Australian saltwater crocodile)
Lineage: Eukaryota; Metazoa; Chordata; Crocodylia; Crocodylidae
Description: U5 spliceosomal RNA (ENSCPRG00005001674.1)
Source: RNAcentral
UGGUUUUUCUUCAAGUUGUCUAAACCUUUCACCUUUUACUAAAGAUUUCCAUGGAGAGAAGCAGUUAU